GACGUAGGGGGCAAGCGUUGUCCGGAAUCAUUGGGCGUAAAGCGCUCGUAGGUGGUUCGGUAAGUCUGCAAUGAAAGACCCGGGCUCAACUCGGGGAACGGUGUGGAUACUACCGAUCUUGAGGCAAUCAGAGGAUGAUGGAAUUCCCGGUGUAGCGGUGAAAUGCGUAGACAUCGGGAGGAACACCAGUGGCGAAGGCGAUCAUCUGGGGUUGUUCUGACACUGAGGAGCGAAAGCUAGGGGAGCAAACGGG
Molecule: ribosomal RNA, 253 nt
Filed under: uncultured bacterium
Lineage: Bacteria
Description: partial 16S ribosomal RNA
Rfam family: Bacterial small subunit ribosomal RNA
Source: RNAcentral